RNAcentral lists this transfer RNA (76 nucleotides) under Candidatus Nomurabacteria bacterium. Its description in RNAcentral is "tRNA-Ala". It matches the Rfam family "tRNA". From Rfam's summary of the family: Transfer RNA (tRNA) molecules are approximately 80 nucleotides in length. Lineage: Bacteria; Candidatus Nomuraibacteriota. The record is from RNAcentral.
GGGGCAUUAGCUCAGCUGAUAGAGCGCUACAUUCGCAUUGUAGAGGUCGGGGGUUUAAGUCCCCCAUGCUCCACCA